Hyaena hyaena (striped hyena) is the source of this 477-nucleotide long non-coding RNA. RefSeq lists it as uncharacterized. The transcript is spliced from 3 exons. The record is from RefSeq and is a predicted model, not a curated record. Lineage: Eukaryota; Metazoa; Chordata; Mammalia; Carnivora; Hyaenidae.
ACCACACAAAACAUAUGUGCCAUAGAAUGAACUUGGCCUAAUGGCUCACUGAAAUACAAGAGACCACAUGGCAUGGAGAACUGUGGAACGUGUUAGUGGGAGGAGGCUGGCAAGAACUUACAGAUGGCAGGACGAAUGAAGUAGAACAAAAGCUGUACCUGGUAAAGCAGCUGUGGUCAUUCCAGUGAUUCCCAGAAAAAGAGGACAUUUGGUCGUUUUUGUGGUUUGGAUAAUAUUAUUUUCGUUUUGAUUUUUUUUCUUAUUUCGCUUGUUGAUUUUUGAUAUUCAGACACGAUGAUGGAGUGCUUUUGUUGUUUCUUGCUUCAACAUGGUCACAGUGACCUUGUCUGAUGUUGGUAUCCUGUGAAAUUGCUUAUGGGCAACAAGAGAGUUGAGGGCCAGGCCUGCCUCUGAAGGUCAAAGGCUGUUUCUCUCUCACAAUAAUCCUAUAAGCAUUUCACCUCAAGAAGUGUUCCU